AUAAAAGUUUACCUAUUUCAGCAUGACCUCUCCAAAACACAUUGCAGUGAUCUGUGUGUGUUCCUCCCUGACAGCAAGUACAACCCAUUGUAACCCAGUUGAUGGGAACUGUUUAAACACACUCCACCACAAGCAUUGGAGAUUCCAGGCAUUCUCGUUUCAUACAUUAGGCCUACAUUAAAGGAGUGGUACAUCGCCUAUGGUAUGUUACAAUUCAGCUGCAUCCAGCAUCCAGUGGUGUCGACAAGCAUUGGAGUGAAACCAUACAUAAUGAGCUUUAUUUGAAAUCACAUGGUAAUGGUUGUGUUAUGCAGAGCACUGAUGUGACUAAAAGAGAAAGCCAAAUAGUGAUCAGAGUUACCUGCCAAAAGGGAAACCCUUGCACAACUCUAAGAUAAAUUGCAAGUAGAAUGCCAACUGCAAAGAAACAAGCUAGUAGCUCUAAAAUUGAUAUUGAUUUUGCAAGGUAGAAUCUCAUUAAGGGAGAGUUAUACAGUAAUGUAAUUGCAGUGGUCAACAUUUAUUUACAAAACUGGAAGCAUUACAAGAAUGUAGUGUUUGUUUGUGUUCGACCAGAAAUGACAAACAACAUUAGUCCACUCCGUCUAACAAUACUACUGGCCUCAUGUUGAACUCCAAACCAAGAGCAUUCCCUGGAGGGCAUUAUUAGAAUAUGUUGACCAUACCAUGAAUCAACUACUACAAAUAUAUUAUUGACAGGUGGACCUUGCACUUUCCACGCAGACAUAUCAAUCAUUAAUUGUAAACAAACGUAAGGAAAUUUGAGGGGGUCCAGAUUAAAAGGAUGAUCUAUACAUUUGAACUAAUGAAUCCUGGUAUUAUCAGUCUACAAUUACUUCACAGCAGAUUGAGUGUAAAUCAGUCAACACAUACUACAGAGGAAGAUUGAUGACAAAUUAUGCAUUUUCUACCUCAAAAUAUAGGGAGUAUAACAGUAAAAUUAAAAAAAGUCAUUAAUAUGCAUUGAUCAUUUAAGUGCAUUCUGAAUAACACAUACAACUAUAAAAUAAUAUGAAAACCAUUAUUAUAUUUUAAAAGUCUUUGAAUUAGUCCGUAAUAAAACACAAUUAUGCAAACCAGCCAUCCAUUUCAUACAAAAUACAGAUGGACAAUGAACAAAGAUCGGCUGCAGCAGAAAUCAACAUGGAACACGGAAAAUAGAUCAAAUCAAUAAAAUAACUUCAACCAAAAUAAUAUAGUGGUUUCAAGCUUAAAAUGUUGUGAACUUUGCAUGCGUUUGUGUGAGCAUGUGCCUGGGUGUGCAUGUGUGUGCUUGCAUGUCAUUUUGUGUGUGGCUGUGGUAUCAGACAUCCAUUCCAGACACAUUAAUUUAAAAUAAUUGUAUGGUAAACAAGUUGUAGUGAUUUGGCAGAAGUUAAACUGAUCACAGUAACUGAAACAGUAAAACAAUAGAUGGGUCGUUCCACGAAAUGAGUGCCUUUUGCGUCCCUUUGAUAUUUUAAGAAUAAACUAUGACAAAUAAUUAAUUUUAACAGUUAUAUUCAAUUAAGUGCCCUUUAAUAUAGACCACACAGACAAUUCAAUAAAUCAGAUAAGUAAAGACUCUAAACGUCCCUCCGUGUACCCUCUGUGACUUCUAGGAAGAUUAACCCACUUAACCCCAACACUUCUCCAAGUUUUCACCAUCAUUGUAAAGCCCUAGCUAUUUUGUUGCUUUGACAGUCAUUUCUGAAGAUAAUUUUGUCCAUUUUCUGGUGUUUUGUGGUGGAAAACUGAGUGGGUCGAGAACAACACGUCAACCCUGUUACCCACAUAUAGACAGCGUACAUUUUUUUAAACAAUUACAUUUUUGGGGUGAAGCUUGCAUUCAAUUGCCACUCUGUUGCACACAACACCCUUAUAUUCCCCAUCACAAGGGGAUUUGCAGCUGAUUUACAGUGGCAAGAAAAAGUAUGUGAACCCUUUGGAAAUACCUGGAUUUCUGCAUAAACUGGUCAUAAAAUGUAAUCUGAUCUUCAUCUAGGUCACAACAAUAGACAAACACAGUCUGCUUAAACAAAUAACACACAAACUAUGAUAUGUUUUCAUGUCUUUAUUGAACACACCGUGUAAACAUUCACAGUGCAGUGAACCCUCCACACAUAGUGUUGUAUGUUCCUUUCAAACAAAUCCACUGUAGUUUAUUCUGUCCACAGAAUAUUUAGCCAGUAGCGCUGUGGAACAUCCAGGUGCACUUUUGGAAACAUAAGACGCGCAGCAAUGUUUUUUUUUGACAGCUGACUCCAUUAGCCUAGGAGUUCACAUACUUUUCCAACCUAUACUGUGAAUGUUUAAAUGAUGUAUUCAAUAUAGGCAAGAAAAAUACAAUAAUUUGUGUGUUAUUAGUUUAAGCACACUAUGUUUGUCUAUUGUUGUGACUUAGAUGAAGAUCAGAUCAAAUUUGAUGACCAAUUUAUGCAGAAAUCCAGGUAAUUCCAAAGGGUUCACAUACUUUUUCUUGCUACUGUAAGAUUAAAUUGUCAACCCUGUUACUUUAUUUGGCACUUAAUAGGCGCUUUCUAUAGUAUUUUUUUUAUUUAACCUCUUGAGAUGGGAAAAUGUGUUUUUUAUUAGGUUGAACAUGUGCUCUUUAUGACAGAAUGUUAAAAUUAGGUGAAUGCAUCAUUAAAAACAAAAUAACAUUCAGCCAGUUCCCCUGAACAAGAGAAAUCUCUAUUAGCACAAUCCUCAACUCUCUAAAAACACAUGAACAAAUAUUUGAAUCUUUGAGGAGCUACUUUAAAGGACUAGCCCAUAGUUUAUGGAAUAAAGCACUUCAUGAUAACAACGUAGCUGCGUACCACAGGCAAUACACAUCAGAAAUGAAAACAGACUACAUAACUGCCAGCUAUCAUGGUGUCCUGACUUAAUGUCCGGUAGAGUAGGGACUAACCUUACAGUUGAACCAUAAUAAGUUUGUCCAUUACAUGGGCCCACCCCAUAAUAUGUCAAUGUACAACCCGCCAGAGAGUAUACCCAGCAGAGUGGAGUAGCAGGCAGGCAAAGCCCAGUGAUAAUCAGUAUUCAGCAGCAUGUAGAUGUUAUACUUUAGAGUCUGCGGGAAUCCAAGGUAGAGGUCCGAUGGGGAGGGAGGGCAUUUCCAUUUUUCAUACUGACCUGAUGGGCUCCCAGCCUGAAUCUGGCCCCACUGGUCUUUUACAUGAUCUUAUUGAUUUAAGCUGAGUUAUAACCAUAGUGAUGGAAGGAGGUUAGGAAAAGAGACCUCAGCGUGGCAUUUUUUUUUACGUAGACUGUUCGAGGGAUGAGCUGGGAUAGUAUGUACAGUGCAUUCAGAAAGUAUUCACACCCCUUUACUUUUUCCACAUUUUGUUGUCAGAGCCUGAAUUAAAAAUAGGUUACAUUUAGAUUUUGUGUCACUGAUGCACACACAAUACCCCAUAAUGUCAAAGUGGAUUUGUUUUUGAAUAAUUAUUUUUGAAAUUAAUAAAAAAUGUAAAGCUGAAAUGCCUUGAGUCAAAUAAGUAUUCAACCCCUUUGUUAUGACAAGCCUGAAUAAAAAAAUAAAAAGCAGACGCUGCUAAAUAUCCCUUUGAGUAUGAUGAAGUUAUUAAUUAGGCUUUUGAUGAUGUAUUAAUACACUCAGUCACUAAAAUGAUACAGGUGUCCUUCCUAACUCAGCUGUAGGAGAGGAAGGAAACUACUCAGGGAUUUUUGUGAUUUUGGUUGUGAUAUGACAAAACUGACGAUGGAUCAACACCAUUAUACUCACUCCACAAUCCUAAACUAGUCUCUAUGGGGGUGCCACAGGGUUCCUUUUUCGGGCCGGCUCUUUUCUCUGUACAUAUCAAUGAUGUCGCUCUUGCUGCUGGUGAUUCUCUGAUCCACCUCUAGGCAGACAACACCCUUCUGUA
Molecule: long non-coding RNA, 3893 nt
Filed under: Salmo salar (Atlantic salmon)
Lineage: Eukaryota; Metazoa; Chordata; Actinopteri; Salmoniformes; Salmonidae
Description: lncRNA (ENSSSAG00000104919.1)
Source: RNAcentral